Molecule: unclassified non-coding RNA, 299 nt
Filed under: Hevea brasiliensis (rubber tree)
Lineage: Eukaryota; Viridiplantae; Streptophyta; Magnoliopsida; Malpighiales; Euphorbiaceae
Source: RNAcentral
CUGAGACGGGCUAGAUGCCCCAGAUAAACAGCAGCACUGUCGUUCGACGACGCCCGAGGUGGCGAGAAACGGGCGGCGGCGGUGGGGGAGGAGGCGCCGGGGGAACAGCGGAUCCUCUUGGAUACCGGCGGGGAGUCAAGGAGAAGAUCGUCGAAGAUGGAAUUGGACCUCUUACCACACACUAUGGCAGACAUGUUGGUGCUGCCGAAGCCUCCGCCUCAGCGGCGCUCGGAGCCGAUUGAUUUCCCGAUGAGUUCCGCCGAUCUUCCUCCCGCUAUCACCUUCGAAUCCAGCGGCGG